GACGAACGCUGGCGGCGUGCCUAACACAUGCAAGUCAGGGAGAAUAGGGUAGCAAUAUCCUUAGUAAACCGGCGAACGGGUGAGUAACACGUAGAUAAUCAACCUUGAAGUUGGGACGAACCUCGCGAAAGCGGGGCUAAUACCGAAUGACACAACCGGUUCUUAUGGAUUGGUUGUCAAAGCUUCCGAGCGCUUCAAGACGAGUCUGCGUCCGAUUAGCUAGUUGGUGAGGUAAUGGCNCACCAAGGCUACGAUCGGUAGCCGACCUGAGAGGGUGAUCGGCCACACUGGGACUGAGAUAC
RNAcentral lists this ribosomal RNA (302 nucleotides) under uncultured bacterium. RNAcentral's name for it is "bacterial SSU rRNA". It matches the Rfam family "Bacterial small subunit ribosomal RNA", at positions 28 to 327 of the family's 1533-position model. The record is from RNAcentral.